CCUACGGGUGGCAGCAGUGAGGAAUAUUGGUCAAUGGACGAGAGUCUGAACCAGCCAAGUAGCGUGAAGGAUGACUGCCCUAUGGGUUGUAAACUUCUUUUAUAUGGGAAUAAAACGUUCCAUGUGUGGGAUUUUGUAUGUACCAUAUGAAUAAGGAUCGGCUAACUCCGUGCCAGCAGCCGCGGUAAUACGGAGGAUCCGAGCGUUAUCCGGAUUUAUUGGGUUUAAAGGGAGCGUAGGUGGAUUGUUAAGUCAGUUGUGAAAGUUUGCGGCUCAACCGUAAAAUUGCAGUUGAUACUGGCAGUCUUGAGUACAGUAGAGGUAGGCGGAAUUCGUGGUGUAGCGGUGAAAUGCUUAGAUAUCACGAAGAACUCCGAUUGCGAAGGCAGUUCACUGGACUGCAACUGACACUGAGGCUCGAAAGUGUGGGUAUCAAACAGGAUUAGAUACCCUAGUAGUC
RNAcentral lists this ribosomal RNA (460 nucleotides) under uncultured bacterium. RNAcentral describes it as "partial 16S ribosomal RNA". It matches the Rfam family "Bacterial small subunit ribosomal RNA", at positions 338 to 795 of the family's 1533-position model. The record is from RNAcentral.